Nothobranchius furzeri (turquoise killifish) is the source of this 6523-nucleotide non-coding RNA. The record is from RefSeq and is a predicted model, not a curated record. NCBI's taxonomy places the organism in Eukaryota, Metazoa, Chordata, Actinopteri, Cyprinodontiformes, Nothobranchiidae.
GGGGGGGGGGGCGCUGGUGCCCAUCUCCAGCGGUCAACGGGCAAUCAGGCAGGGUACACCCUGGACAGAGAGCCAGUCCAUCGCAGGGCAACACAGAGACACACAGGACAAACAAUCACGCACACACACACACACACGCACUCACUCACCUAGGGACAAUUUAGACAGACCAAUUAACCUAACAUGCAUGUUUUUUUGGACUGUGGGAGGAAGCCGGAGUACCCGGAGAAAACCCACGCAUGCACAAGGAGAACAUGCAAACUCCAUGUAGAAAGAUCCCAGGCCGGGAAGCGAACCUUCUUGCUGCAAGGCAACAGCUCUAACCACUGCGCCACUGCGCACCCCACCCCCUAAGUGGAUCUACAAAAGGUCUCUGAUGCAGGGAAGAAUGAAUGGAUGGAUACAGCACAAUUAAGACACUCGUUUAUAUAGUUUAUCAGCAAAAAAAAGUUGAUUUGAGGGUGACUUGCACUUGAAGUUUGACUGAGAAUGUUUGUCUUCAAAAGUUAAAACAACUUUUAAAUAAACAUGAUGCUAUGUGUAAUAGGGGGCAUAAGUCAUGCCCAUCUGCUUCCAGUCCAUGGGCCAAAAAAAUGAAUGGGAGUCUUUGAGUACAUAAAUAUUAUACUUUGAUCCAGUUUGAUAUGUGCCAUGGAUUUCACACCUGAUGUCUGUGAAUUUUAAUGACACAUUUUGAUGCCAGGAUAGCGCUUAUAUUAGACUGGAGUCAAAAGUUAUUUUAGGUUUUGUGAGAAAAGACGUGGAGAACUCAGAACUGCUCAUCUCACCAAAUUGACAUUAUCGAACCAGACAAGAGAAGAAAAAUGGCUGAGUUUAGCAAGCUUUGCAACCUUCUUUCAGGACGACAGAAGCAGCAUUAAACAUGGAGAAAACCACUAUAAAUCUGGCCAUGUGGUAAGUAGCAGCUACGCUGCGGUGGCAUCAUAAAUGCAACGUCUGAUUUGUAGUCAUUUAAAUUAAACAUUUUUACAAGGUAAUAAAUCUUGCAUCACGUGACAGACAUAGUUGACACACAUUACUUUUCAUUUAAGUUGAAGUACAACAUACAUGUGAUUCAGGGCGUAAGGCAGAGUGGAUUACAAAAUAGCUUUUGUAGCCCUGUUCACUUGGGGACUCGUGAGCCGACUGGAAGGGGAGGAGAUUUGAGCUUCUUGUUUAUUUUUUUAGAUCAGGUCAUCUUCACCGGGAUUAAAAAAACAUUUUUAAUUAUUUAUUUCACUCUGAGUUUUUAUGCAGGCUGAGCAUGAAAACAGACUUCUACACCUAUCUCCUGCAUCAGCUUCUGAUAGGAAGCAGACAGUGAAACUCUAGGAUUUGAAAAUCGAGACAGAUCUACGUCACACUGUCACUUAACAUUUAUGGACUCGCCCAUCUUCACUUGCGACGGGGAAGUCUAUUAUUGGUUUAGCAUCCAGGAUCCCAAAGAGAAUGACUUGUGUUAUUUGUGGAGAUAAAACACAAAUGUUGCAGAGCAAACAAAAUCAGUGCUAGUCGUGUUGCUGUUAGCCAAUCAGAGGCCAGAUGUCUAAAUAUCAGUAAAUAAGACCCCAAAACCUGCCGCCUGAAGCUACUUUCUGCUCCAGCUGACUCCUAUGUGAAUUCUAAGGGUUUGGGCCAAUGUUGGAAGAAUCCCAGCUUCACCAACUUGCAACUACAUCUCUUGUAUUUGUUACAAACCUUUAUUGCUGUCUAGUGAUCAGCUUAUCUGUAUUUGGAUGUUCUUCAUGUUUCAACAGUUGAUGCUUUUCUGUCUCUCUGCUGGUCAGGUUGAACAUCCUGCUUGGUGGCAUGAAACCACUGUACUUCCACAUGGUCAACGUGUGUUUGCACUGUGCUGUUACCUGCCUGCUCAUGUACACAUGUGAACGCUGCGUGUUUGAAAACCCACAUUUGGCCUUUGCCACAGCGGUCCUCUUUGCUGUUCAUCCCAUCCACACUGAGGCGGUGUCUGGUGUUGUUGGCAGGGCUGACGUCUUGGCUUGUCUGCUGUUCUUGGUGACAUUCCUCUCCUAUGUUAGGAGUGUAGGAGAAAGUGUCUCUGAGGACUCCGUGCCCUCCACAGCAUCCCCCUGGUUUCUGUUCAUCAGCUUGUUUCUGGGAACCUGUGCCAUGCUGGUGAAGGAGACUGGUAUCACUGUGUUUGGAGUGUGUCUUCUCUACGAUGCCCUGGUGCUCUGCUGCAGACCGCUCACUCAUCACGCUUCUGGUUCCAGACUCAAAAACCUGCCCCACAUCUGCAUCCCCUUCAUUAAACGAGCUUGCCUCAUCUCUGCAAAUCUGGUGAUCAUCAUGUCUGUUCGGCUGUGGCUGAUGGGUGGAUCCAUGCCUCUGUUUUCAGAGCAGGACAACCCUGCUUCCUUCUCGCCUCACCUGCUCACCAGAACUCUAACCUACUCAUACCUGUUGUCCUUCAACGCCUGGCUGCUGCUGGCCCCCAUUGUGCUCUGUUAUGACUGGCAGGUGGGCAGCAUUCCCCUGGUGGAGUCUGUGGUUGAUGUGAGGAAUGUUGCCACCCUGCUGCUGGCUGCUGUGAUGGUCGCACUCUGCAUGCACUGCAUCUUCUCUCUGCAGUGGCAGGAGAACAGGGAGGUGGUGGUGGGGCUUCUGUUCCUCGUGUUUCCCUUUAUUCCUGCCAGCAACCUUUUCUUCAGGGUGGGAUUUGUUGUUGCUGAGAGGGUGCUCUACAUGCCAAGUAUGGGUUACUGUAUUUUGGUGGUUCAUGGCUUCGGCCGGCUCUGCGCGGUGGCGGGUCGAUGGGGCACCAUGCUCCUCAGCAGCUCCAUGCUGCUGCUGCUGCUUCUCUUCUCCUGGAAAACGGUCCAACAGAACAACGUCUGGGUCUCCCGGGAGGCCCUGUUUCGUUCUGGGAUCCAGACUUUACCUCACAAUGCCAAAGUCCACUACAACUACGCCAACUUCCUGAAAGACAGCGGUCGACAUUCGGAAGCCGUUCACCACUACAGCCUUGCCCUCAGGUUAUAUCCCCGUCAUGCCAGCGCCAUGAACAAUCUGGGCACUCUGACUCACAGCCCAGAGGAAGCUGAGCGCUACUACAGGAAGGCGCUGGACAUCAACCCUCAACAUAACCGAGCUCUGUUUAACCUGGGGAACCUCAUCAAGUCCCAGGGCAAGGAGAAAGAGGCCGAGGCUCUGUUAAGAGACUCUAUUCGCUAUGGGCCUCACUUCGCUGAUGCUUACUCCAGUUUGGCAUCACUCUAUGCUGAGCAGAAACGCUUUGCUGAAGCAAAUGAAGUGUAUUUAAAAGGAAUAGAGAAUUGCCCCGACAACUCUGACCUACAUAACAACUAUGGAGUCUUUUUGGUGGAUACUGGAGAAGGCCAGCUAGCAUCUUCUCACUACAGGGAAGCAAUACGACUAAAGCCAGCUCAUUAUGUUGCCAUGGUGAAUCUGGGACGUCUGCUGAGAUCAUCCAAUGAGAAUAAAGAAGCCGAGUCUUGGUACAAGAGGGCCCUACGAGUGACCAGAAAAGUGGACAUCCUGGCUCCCCUCGGAGCUCUGUAUUAUAACACUGGUCGCUAUGAGGACGCCCUACUGGUAUACAAAGAGGCUGCUGUUCUGCAACCGGACAGCACCGACAUCUGGUUGGCUUUGGCCCAGGUUCUAGUCAUGGCUGGCAGCGCAGCUGAGGCAGAGGAGGUGACUCUGGACAUCAUUUCUAGAGAGAACAGCUGUCUUGAAUGUUACCGCCUCCUGUCUGCAAUCUACAGCAAACAUGGCAACUACACAAAGGCUCUGGAGGCUCUGGACCUGGCCCUGCAGCAGAACCCCAGUGACCUGACAGUGAGAGCAGAGCUGUAUUUCUCUAAAGGAAACCAGCUAAGAGAGAUGAAUCAGCUUGACCGGGCUUUUGAGAAACCAACUAAAGACAGCAAUGAUCUGAUUAGUAAUCAGCCUCUCCUCUGCUAGAGCUACCGGCUGGCCGUUAGACUCAAACCAAACCAGUCUCAGGCCUGGAUGAAUAUGGGAGGGAUCCAGCACAUCAAGGGAGACUAUGCAGCUGCCAGGAUGUACUACCAGCGGGCCCUGCUUCUGAGUCCCGGUUCCAAACUUCUGAAGGAAAACCUGGCUAAGCUGGAUCGGUUGGAGAAAAGACUAACUGGGGAGCAUUAAAACCAUUCUGAACUGAGUCCUGCUCAGUCAGAGCUGGAUGGCGUCUGUCCUGCAAGUGCAGAGACACUAGGCUGUUGGAUCAAGCAGUUCUUACAGCCUGCCUGUGAGGACUGACAAGACCUGGUCCAGACAUAUGGAUGUUGGGUACUGCACAAGAGAGGGAAGAAGGAGAUGAGUGGAUGAAGAUCAUCUAAACUCUGCAUCAGCUUUACUUCAUCCUAUCACGUUAGAUUUAAUGUUACUGAAGUUCUUGUUCCUUUGCUUUGCCUUUAAAAUGUUCUUGUAGUUAAAUCGGUGCAAAGAAAGUGUGUGAAAAUGUAUCUAUCAUGAAGGAAAUGUGUGUGUGUGUGUGUGUGUGUGUGUGUGUGUGUGUGUGUGUGUGUGUGUGUGUGUGUGUGUGUGUGUGUUGGUCCUUGGGGAGCUUUAACAAAGAAAGUUUAGCUUUUAGGUCCACUUAAAAGUUUUGUGGAGCUUUCAUUUGAAUUUAUUCAGGAUGAGGUAUUUAUUUAUGAUGUUUUGUUUUUAAAAAUGAGACCAAAGAUUUUUUUAAACAUCUUUGGUGUGUUCUUUCUGUGUUCGGUUUCUAAUUCCAUUUUUGGUUCUUUUUAAAACACAGGAAAGGUUUUUCUUUACCUGCUAAAGUUUCAUUUGCGGCUGCAAACAUCGUCAGAGCUGAUGCUGAUGGUGGCGUCACUUCCUUCUCCGUUUAUCUGCGGGCAGCAGAGGACGUUGUCGCCCUCUGCUGCCCACUCUCCCCUCCGGUGAUGCAGUCCCAUGCGCGAUCAAAUCUCUAUGGCUUCUUUAAUCCAUCUUUUGUAUUUCUGUUGUUCGGUGUUUAUGAUCCUUGUGUUGUCCCAGUCCAUUACAUGGUUUUCUCUUAUGCAGUGAUCUGUUACGGCUGACUUCUUUAUUGUACUUUCUGCUUCUUCUUUUGCUGCUCUCGUAUGUUUUCGACUUGCCUCUUUCUUGCACUCCUUUCUAUGUUCUAUUGUUGGUGUGUUGAGUUGGCGUCCGGUUUCUCCUAUGUAUGUUUUAUUGCAGAGUUUGAAUGGGAUUCCGUAAACGAAUCCACAUUUAAGUCCAGCUGAUAUUUUGUCUUUUGGGUGUACUAGUCUGUUUCUAAUUGUUGUGUAUGGUUUUGUUGGUGUGUUUAUGUUGUGUUUUUUCAUUGUUGCUCUUAUUUUUUCUGUUAGGCCUUUGAUGUAUGGUAAGGUUAUCACUGGUUUUGGUUCUUGUCUUUCUGGGUUUCUGGUUCUUUGCUUUGGUUGUUUUUUUCUUUCUGUUGUUGUUUGCCGUUUUCCUUUGUUUAUUGUCCAUGUCGGGUAUCCGCAGGGCCCAAAGCAAAGAACCAGAAACCCAGAAAGACAAGAACCAAAACCAGUGAUAACCUUACCAUACAUCAAAGGCGUAACAGAAAAAGUAAGAGCAACAAUGAAAAAACUACAUAAACACACCAACAAAACCAUACACAACAGUUAGAAACAGACUAGUACACCCAAAAGACAAGAUACCAGCUGGACUUAAAUGUGGAGUCGUUUACGAAAUCCCAUGCAAACUCUGCAAUAAAACAUACAUAGGAGAAACCGGACGCCAACUCAACACACGAACAAUAGAACAUAGAAAGGAGUGCGAGAAAGAGGCAAGUCGAAAACACACAAGAGCAGCAAAAGAAGAAGCAGAAAGCACAAUAAAGAAGUCAGCCGUAACAGAUCACUGCACAAGAGAAAACCAUAUAAUGGACUGGGACAACACAAGGAUCAUAAACACCGAACAACAGAAAUACAAAAGAUGGAUAAAAGAAGCAAUAGAGAUAAGGAGACGUGGAUGUGGGACCAUGAACAGAGACGAUGGAGUUUACUCAUUGGAUCGCGCAUGGGACUGAAUCAUCGGAGAGGGGAGAGAUAAACGGAUAAAUGGAGAAGUAAAUGACGCCACCAUCAGCGUCAGCUCUGACGAUGUUUGCAGCCGCAAAUGAAACGUUAGCAGGUAAAGAAAAACCUUUCCUGUGUUUUAAAAAGAACUAAAAAUGGAAUUAGAGGCCAAAGAUUUCUGGUCUGCAUCACACAGAUCUAUGUUCAGAUCACAAAGGGUAAACCUCAAAACAGGAAUAAAAGUUGGACAGCGAACAGAAUGAAAUAAUAAUUAUAAUUAUAGUAAUAAUGAUGAAAGAUGGCUGAUCACACUGAACUACAGCAUGAAUGAGAUGAGUCAUCUAAAAACACUGAUUAGAGAGAUUAAUGAAUGUUUAAUGAGUCCAACAGAGUUCUAGACUGCUCCAGAAAGUAGAAGUGGACCUUUGAGUUAACAAAAUCAUAUUUUGACCUCAGUGGCUCUCAUAAAGAAAAUAAAGUUUAUGUUAUGUUUACAAUGA